AUUCCCUCGCCAUGACACAGACAGGUAGGGCGUGCUGGGCCUGCCCGGCAGGGGCCCGGUAGAGCCACGUCUGCUAUUGUAUAUGCCCCACACAGUGGACAGGCCUGGGCACCUGGCCGCUGGUCGCACGUUGGACAAGGAACUUGGCUUCUCUGAACCUCAGUCUUUCUCAUCUGGAAAAUGGGUUCCAGGCUCCCCAUUCCCUGGGAGGAGGCGACGGCUCCACGAUGCCAAUGUCUGACCUAGCCUGAUCCGCCUCCUUGCCCCGACACCCCUGCCGGCUGGCCACCGCCCACUGCCCACCACCCACCGCCCACCGACCCUGGACUCACC
RNAcentral lists this long non-coding RNA (333 nucleotides) under Homo sapiens (human). RNAcentral describes it as "non-protein coding lnc-AES-7:1". Lineage: Eukaryota; Metazoa; Chordata; Mammalia; Primates; Hominidae. The record is from RNAcentral.